This is a long non-coding RNA of Fukomys damarensis (Damara mole-rat), 740 nucleotides long. RefSeq lists it as uncharacterized. The record is from RefSeq and is a predicted model, not a curated record. The transcript has 3 exons. NCBI's taxonomy places the organism in Eukaryota, Metazoa, Chordata, Mammalia, Rodentia, Bathyergidae.
AACUUCUGCAGCCCCAGGUCUACAGCGGGAUGGGGGAGCAGGAGAGGAGAUUUCAUUCCUGACCUACACGAAUGCCAGUUGGUGCCACACAGUGGAAUGACGCCAUCUAAUAGGUCUCAUCACAUCAUUUCACCAAGGGCCAUUCCCACAUUGGAGCUCUUCACCUGCGAGUGGAUGCAGCAAAUAGAAUCUGAACUCAAUGGAACAACUGUCCUCAGAAAAAUGAAUGCUACUUUUAGGUCACAGUGUACAAUUUGAGAGGGACAAGCUCACUUCUAACCUCAACCCAGCUCCCAGGUGAGUUACCUCUGUCUACCAGUUGACUGCACAAUGAGAAACUGAGCCACACACGCUCUGUCGUGUCUCCCAGACACUCUGAUGCAUCCACGCAGUCUGAUGGACGCAGCUUCAGAAGCUGGACAAGAGCAAGGGAAAAGCAGGAGGGGUGAGCUUCAUUCUGCACCAAGUACGGGGUGACAGCACGCCCCACUGUAGCCUGUCCACCUUUGCACCCUGAGUCCCUGGGCUCCACCAGCAUGUGUGAGUCCAUCCACUUUUGAAACAGGAAGUAGGCGCAAAGCAGUAUUGAACGGGCGGUGCUGGGCAGAAGACAGGAGGGACUACUGGUCCUUUACUUCUCCACUGAGUACAGCAUUAUCACCUUGUGGCUGCUAAGAGCAUUCGUAAGCAUAAUGUUUCUGUUUUUGAAUACGCAGAUGUCAGAAUUAAUAAAUAAAGAA